This 206-nucleotide unclassified non-coding RNA is filed under the name plant metagenome. Its description in RNAcentral is "partial contains small subunit ribosomal RNA, internal transcribed spacer 1, and 5.8S ribosomal RNA". The record is from RNAcentral.
GUAGGUGAACCUGCGGAAGGAUCAUUCAUAAUAAAGUGUUUUAUGGCACUUUUUAAAAAUCCAUAUCCACCUUGUGUGCAAUGUUAGAUCUCGUCAAUCUUGGCGAGAUUUUUAUACAUCAACUCAUUCUUUAACUAAUUUGUCUGAAAAAUAUUAUGAAUACUUAAUUCAAAAUACAACUUUCAACAACGGAUCUCUUGGCUCUC